UUUGCCUACGGGACGCAGCAGUGAGGAAGAUUGGUCAAGGGUCGGGAGACUGAACCAGCCAAGCCGCGUGAGGGAUGAAGGUACAGAGUAUCGUAAACCUCUUUUGUCAGGGAACAAAGGCGGGGACGUGUCCCCGGAUGAGUGUACCUGAAGAAAAAGCAUCGGCUAACUCCGUGCCAGCAGCCGCGGUAAUACGGAGGAUGCGAGCGUUAUCCGGAUUUAUUGGGUUUAAAGGGUGCGCAGGCGGUCUGUUAAGUCAGCGGGCAAAGCCCGGGGCUCAACCCCGG
This 287-nucleotide ribosomal RNA is filed under the name uncultured bacterium. RNAcentral describes it as "partial 16S ribosomal RNA". It matches the Rfam family "Bacterial small subunit ribosomal RNA", at positions 334 to 618 of the family's 1533-position model. The record is from RNAcentral.